UGCAAGCUGUCUCUUUGAUUAAAGCAGCUAAUCUUUGAUUGUAGGCGGUGGGCUCCACCUUGUUUCCCUGCACCCAGAAGGUUCACAGGGGUUAGAUGCAUCAAGUCUUGCACUUUCAAUACUAAUGCAAAGGAAUGUUUUUUAAAGUCAUUUUUGUAAGAUAUAUUGUGAGGAAAAAGAGGUUAAAUUUAUAAAUCACAAAAAUACGGUUAAAUGAAGGGAAAAGCCCUAUAUCAUUUACUAAAAAUCUCAUCCUGUACAGAAUGGCUCAUCUGACAGAGGUACAGAGCAGAACCCUGUGUACUAAACAAGAUCUACACCCUUUUUUAUUGAGUCUUUUUGCGUUGCUCCCCAGGAGAAAAGGUGUGUUCUUACCAGGAGCUGAUCAGCAUAAGCUUAAAUCUUAAAGAACUUCUAUUCUCCAUCCAGUUAAAUUUGCAAGACAUUAUUAUUGUAUGGAGCCUACAAACAAACAAGAACCUCUAUAAACAUGACUGCCAGGAUUAAAGCUAAAGAUUAAAGCUGUCAUCUCCAAGUGUUUGGGAGUUUGCCCUUUCUAUAACAAUGAUGUACCUUCAGGACUACUUCUCAGGCAGCUGCACACGUGAGCAGCAGAGAUGACAGCUGAAAGGCAUUUAACAGCUAUCUUGUAACGUUCAGUGAGCUACACACCUGUGUACUGUGACUUCUCUGCAGUCCCUGCCAGGUAAAUACUUGCAAUCUGUGAACUCUAAGAUUAUUCCUAU
Molecule: long non-coding RNA, 746 nt
Organism: Cygnus olor (mute swan)
Lineage: Eukaryota; Metazoa; Chordata; Aves; Anseriformes; Anatidae
Exons: 3
Source: RefSeq, a predicted model, not a curated record